AGAUCUCAAACCCACUGCGAAAUGGCAGAUUCGGCGGAUUCCCAAUGAACUAACAUGAUGUACUUGGAAAUCACGUAGCCUCGAAGCCGUGAUGAAUUGUACUUGAGCGAAGUGAGUUCAUGGGGAAUCGGCCGGAUCUGCCAUUUCGCAGUGGGCUUGAGAUCG
Molecule: non-coding RNA, 165 nt
Organism: Bodo saltans
Lineage: Eukaryota; Euglenozoa; Kinetoplastea; Eubodonida; Bodonidae
Source: the annotation of a GenBank genome assembly